This 285-nucleotide long non-coding RNA is filed under the name Physcomitrium patens. RNAcentral's name for it is "long non-coding RNA (PPAT_LNC013876)". Lineage: Eukaryota; Viridiplantae; Streptophyta; Bryopsida; Funariales; Funariaceae. The record is from RNAcentral.
CAUGAUAAUGCCACAUAUACCUUACGUGAGUUAGAUGGAGCUAUCAUUAGAAUUCCAAUAGCAGGGAAGAGGGUGAAGGCUUUCAAAAGAAGAGAUGGGCGGUUUCAAAUAGAAGAUCUUCAAGAAUUCUUACCUCAAUAUUUGGACCAAGAACAUUAAGAAGAAGACUCUAUGAGUGAUUCCAAGAAGUCUCAAGAGGAUGAAGAAGAGUAGUAUGUGGCACAUACCGGAGGAUGUGCAGGUUUAGAGGGGGUGGAUGUUGUAUUGUAAUUACUUACAGUAUGU